CACAGGGCAGGGAAGCUUCAUGGGAACGCUGAUGCCAUGUCGAGAAGGGAUGACUGCUGUUGGUCUGUCGCUCCCCACCGAGGUUCAGAGCUGAGGGUGGGGGUAUGUGGUGGCCCAGCCGCUGAGCAGUGCCCCACAUGGCCACGGGGUGGCCACAAAGGCAGGCAAAGGCAGCCAAGGGGUGUGGUUCUGGAUGGGAGGUACUACGCAGCUUACCCUGCACAGGUGCGCUGAGUUAGCCCUGCAAUCAGAGGGCCUUUUUCACUCCACCAGAACAGGCUGAAGAGGGACUGGCUGGAGGAGCGUGUGGUGUGGAGACCAGAGACACGUUAGGCCAGUCUCGUGGCCGGCAGCUGAAGAGGAACCCCAACGACUUGAAGAGGAACCCCAACGACUUGAAGAGGAAACCCAAGCCGAACUAGGGCGAAGAGGUCAGUGGCAGGGACCACAGACCCCACUAACCUCAGACUAUCUUUCUCUCUCUCUCUCUGGCCCCACCCCAGGAAGAGCCAGAAAGGGCAC
Gadus macrocephalus (Pacific cod) is the source of this 522-nucleotide long non-coding RNA. RefSeq lists it as uncharacterized. NCBI's taxonomy places the organism in Eukaryota, Metazoa, Chordata, Actinopteri, Gadiformes, Gadidae. The record is from RefSeq and is a predicted model, not a curated record. The transcript is spliced from 2 exons.